AUUACGCAUGCAUAAAAGCUACUUUGUGCUCGCGACAACCAGUAUUAUUUCCAAAAUGGCCGCUUGUUAAUGUUUUAAUGUGUUAAUAACCUUUUAUUCAAUACUGGAAUAAUUGUUUAUUUGUUACAUAUUUUAACUCUAUUUUAUUACAAUUGAAAAUUGAAAUGACAAUAAUAUUGUUUUGUGUUCAUUAUAAUGUAUAUAUAUGUAAACUCCCUAGAGUUCAUGUGGGAUAGGGAUUCCUUUUGUUUUACGGGUAGCUCGACAGGCUUGUUUGUUUCGCGGACAGAGCGAUCUUCUUUUGUUUUACGGACAACCAUUUUGAGAAGUACGCUUUUCCCAAACGGAUGGACAGAGAGUUACAUUAGAGACAGACAAGUUUACAGAAUAGUUAUUUAAGAUUUUAAAGACUGAAGAAGAAAGAUCGGUAGCUCAGGACGUUGAAAAUCGAUUUUCGAUUUUCCGAUUCUCUGGUUCCAUUUCCUCAACGCUGCAUGAUUUGCUUGGGACAGUUACGCAGUGCAUGUGGUUCAUCUGGUUCUUUAUUACAUCGUCAACACCUAUUACGAGUACCUUUAUUUAUCCUAGUUUCCUGUUGUUGUCUUGACUGUUUCGGUAGUAUCUGCUGCAGUAUUCCAUAAGUAUUCACUUAAAUUUGGUAGUAGACUUCUUAUAACUGUGUCAGCUUUAGUGUAUACCUUUUGAUGUUAUGAUUUACCUUAAUAUUUAUAACCUUCGGUAUCCUUGUACUUGUAAGUAGAAUAGUAUCAAAUCUUUCCAAUGAUCAACCAUAAGUCCCGUUACCUUGUAAAUGUUGUUGUCGGGCAUCAAUUAUUGAUCGUUAUACUUGCUUCUUUUAGUUUAAUUUUAAUAUUGUUAUAAAGGUUAAAUAUUAAUGCAAUUGAGGUUAACUUAUCCAUUUGUUUCAGCUGACCGUCGUAUAUUAUGUUUUACAAAAAUGGAUCCGUAACCAAUUCUUGUGGAGUUCCCGCAUGUACAUUUCCUUUCUCGAUAGUUAAUUACGUACAAGCCUCGUUGAUUUAAAAGGUACCUUUUCUUUUAAUCUCUCUUGAUAUCUUAUUUAUUUUAUUGAAUUAACACAUUUUGUAUUUAAAUAGAGCUAGAAUACAUAGUAAUUCCUUUUUC
This is a long non-coding RNA of Bombus terrestris (buff-tailed bumblebee), 1146 nucleotides long. RefSeq lists it as uncharacterized. The record is from RefSeq and is a predicted model, not a curated record. NCBI's taxonomy places the organism in Eukaryota, Metazoa, Arthropoda, Insecta, Hymenoptera, Apidae. The transcript is spliced from 4 exons.